RNAcentral lists this ribosomal RNA (1522 nucleotides) under uncultured bacterium. Its description in RNAcentral is "bacterial SSU rRNA". It matches the Rfam family "Bacterial small subunit ribosomal RNA". The record is from RNAcentral.
AACGCUGGCGGUAACUUUUAAACAUGCAAGUCGAGCGGUAACAGACAUAAAGAUUCAGCUUGCUGAAUCCGGUGCUGACGAGCGGCGAACGGGUGAGUAACGCGUAGGAAUCUACCCAGUAGCGGGGGAUAGCCCGAGGAAACUCGGAUUAAUACCGCAUACGCCCUGAGGGGGAAAGGGGGCAAUUUAUUGCUCUCACUAUUGGAUGAGCCUGCGUAAGAUUAGCUUGUUGGUAGGGUAAUGGCCUACCAAGGCGACGAUCUUUAGCUGGUCUGAGAGGACGAUCAGCCACAUUGGGACUGAGACACGGCCCAGACAUCUACGGAUGGCAGCAGUUAAGAAUAUUGGACAAUGGGGGCAACCCUGAUCCAGGUAUACCGCGUGUGUGAAGAAGGCCCUAGGGUUGUAAAGCACUUUAAUCAGAGAAGAAGCAUUUUAAGUUAAUACCUUAAUGUGUUGACGUUACCUGAAGAAUAAGGACCGGCUAACUCCGUGCCAGCAGCCGCGGUAAUACGGAGGGUCCAAGCGUUAAUCGGAAUUACUGGGCGUAAAGCGCGCGUAGGCGGUUUAGCAAGUUGUAUGUGAAAGCCCUGGGCUCAACCUAGGAACUGCAUCCAAAACUACUAAGCUAGAGUACGAGAGAGGAGAGUAGAAUUUCUGGUGUAGCGGUGAAAUGCGUAGAUAUCAGAAGGAAUACCAAUGGCGAAGGCAGCUCUCUGGCUCGUCACUGACGCUGAGGUGCGAAAGCGUGGGUAGCAAACAGGAUUAGAUACCCUGGUAGUCCACGCCGUAAACGAUGACAACUAGCCGUUGGGCAGAUUUAACUGUUCAGUGGCACAGCUAACGCAUUAAGUUGUCCGCCUGGGGAGUACGGCCGCAAGGCUAAAACUCAAAUGAAUUGACGGGGGCCCGCACAAGUGGUGGAGCAUGUGGUUUAAUUCGAUGCAACGCGAAGAACCUUACCAAUCCUUGAAAUCUAGCGAAGUUCGCAGAGAUGUGAAUGUGCCUUCGGGAACGCUAUGACAGGUGUUGCAUGGCUGUCGUCAGCUCGUGUCGUGAGAUGUUGGGUUAAGUCCCGUAACGAGCGCAACCCCUAUCCUUAUUUGCCAGCGCGUAAUGGCGGGAACUAUAGGGAGACUGCCGGGUGAAACCCGGAGGAAGGCGGGGACGAGGUCAAGUCAUCAUGGCCCUUAUGGGUAGGGCUACACACGUGCUACAAUGGGAAGUACAGAGGGAUGCGAAAGCGCGAGCUGGAGCUAAACCCUUAAAACUUUUCUUAGUCCGGAUUGGAGUCUGCAACUCGACUCCAUGAAGUCGGAAUCACUAGUAAUCGCGAAUCAGAAUGUCGCGGUGAAUACGUUCUCGGGCCUUGUACACACCGCCCGUCACAUCAUGGAAGUGGGUUGCACCAGAAGUAGUUAGUCUAACCUUCGGGAGGACGCUUACCACGGUGUGGUUCAUGACUGGGGUGAAGUCGUAACAAGGUAGCCGUAGGGGAACCUGCGGCUGGAUCACCUCCUUA